This 1392-nucleotide ribosomal RNA is filed under the name Salmonella enterica. Its description in RNAcentral is "partial 23S ribosomal RNA". It matches the Rfam family "Bacterial large subunit ribosomal RNA", at positions 1428 to 2803 of the family's 2925-position model. The record is from RNAcentral. Lineage: Bacteria; Pseudomonadati; Pseudomonadota; Gammaproteobacteria; Enterobacterales; Enterobacteriaceae. RNAcentral also lists the same sequence under 1 other name.
GGUUAAUAUUCCCGUACUUGGUGUUACUGCGAAGGGGGGACGGAGAAGGCUAUGUUGGCCGGGCGACGGUUGUCCCGGUUUAAGCGUGUAGGUGUGUGUUCCAGGUAAAUCCGGUUCACUUUAACACUGAGGCGUGACGACGAGGCACUACGGUGCUGAAGCAACAAAUGCCCUGCUUCCAGGAAAAGCCUCUAAGCAUCAGGUAACAUCAAAUCGUACCCCAAACCGACACAGGUGGUCAGGUAGAGAAUACCAAGGCGCUUGAGAGAACUCGGGUGAAGGAACUAGGCAAAAUGGUGCCGUAACUUCGGGAGAAGGCACGCUGACACGUAGGUGAAGUGAUUUACUCAUGGAGCUGAAGUCAGUCGAAGAUACCAGCUGGCUGCAACUGUUUAUUAAAAACACAGCACUGUGCAAACACGAAAGUGGACGUAUACGGUGUGACGCCUGCCCGGUGCCGGAAGGUUAAUUGAUGGGGUCAGCGCAAGCGAAGCUCCUGAUCGAAGCCCCGGUAAACGGCGGCCGUAACUAUAACGGUCCUAAGGUAGCGAAAUUCCUUGUCGGGUAAGUUCCGACCUGCACGAAUGGCGUAAUGAUGGCCAGGCUGUCUCCACCCGAGACUCAGUGAAAUUGAACUCGCUGUGAAGAUGCAGUGUACCCGCGGCAAGACGGAAAGACCCCGUGAACCUUUACUAUAGCUUGACACUGAACAUUGAGCCUUGAUGUGUAGGAUAGGUGGGAGGCUUUGAAGUGUGGACGCCAGUCUGCAUGGAGCCGACCUUGAAAUACCACCCUUUAAUGUUUGAUGUUCUAACGUGGACCCGUGAUCCGGGUUGCGGACAGUGUCUGGUGGGUAGUUUGACUGGGGCGGUCUCCUCCUAAAGAGUAACGGAGGAGCACGAAGGUUGGCUAAUCCUGGUCGGACAUCAGGAGGUUAGUGCAAUGGCAUAAGCCAGCUUGACUGCGAGCGUGACGGCGCGAGCAGGUGCGAAAGCAGGUCAUAGUGAUCCGGUGGUUCUGAAUGGAAGGGCCAUCGCUCAACGGAUAAAAGGUACUCCGGGGAUAACAGGCUGAUACCGCCCAAGAGUUCAUAUCGACGGCGGUGUUUGGCACCUCGAUGUCGGCUCAUCACAUCCUGGGGCUGAAGUAGGUCCCAAGGGUAUGGCUGUUCGCCAUUUAAAGUGGUACGCGAGCUGGGUUUAGAACGUCGUGAGACAGUUCGGUCCCUAUCUGCCGUGGGCGCUGGAGAACUGAGGGGGGCUGCUCCUAGUACGAGAGGACCGGAGUGGACGCAUCACUGGUGUUCGGGUUGUCAUGCCAAUGGCACUGCCCGGUAGCUAAAUGCGGAAGAGAUAAGUGCUGAAAGCAUCUAAGCACGAAACUUGCCCCGAG